UCCCUGGAGGACUAGUGGUUAGGCCAUGGCGCAAUCACCGCCGCAGUCAGGUUCAAUUCCCGGCCAGGGAA
This is a non-coding RNA of Pangasius djambal, 71 nucleotides long. Lineage: Eukaryota; Metazoa; Chordata; Actinopteri; Siluriformes; Pangasiidae. The record is from the annotation of a GenBank genome assembly.